CCUACGGGAGGCUGCAGUGGGGAAUAUUGGGCAAUGGAGGAAACUCUGACCCAGCAACGCCGCGUGAAUGAUGAAGGUCUUCGGAUUGUAAAGUUCUUUUCUAAGGGAAGAAGAAAGUGACGGUACCUUAGGAAUAAGCCUCGGCUAACUACGUGCCAGCAGCCGCGGUAAUACGUAGGAGGCAAGCGUUAUCCGGAAUGACUGGGCGUAAAGGGUGCGUAGGUGGUUCAGCAAGUUAGUAGCGUAAUUCCGGAGCUCAACUUCGGCACUACUACUAAAACUGUUGGACUUGAGUGCAGGAGGGGCAACUGGAAUUUGUAGUGUAGCGGUGGAAUGCGUAGAUAUUAGGAAGAACACCGGUGGCGAAGGCGAGUUGCUGGACUGUAACUGACACUGAGGCACGAAAGCGUGGGGAGCAAACAGGAUUAGAUACCCUAGUAGUC
RNAcentral lists this ribosomal RNA (443 nucleotides) under uncultured bacterium. RNAcentral describes it as "partial 16S ribosomal RNA". It matches the Rfam family "Bacterial small subunit ribosomal RNA", at positions 338 to 795 of the family's 1533-position model. The record is from RNAcentral.